RNAcentral lists this long non-coding RNA (6978 nucleotides) under Triticum aestivum (bread wheat). RNAcentral describes it as "long non-coding RNA (TAES_LNC028121)". Lineage: Eukaryota; Viridiplantae; Streptophyta; Magnoliopsida; Poales; Poaceae. The record is from RNAcentral.
CACGUUAUCAUUCUUGUUAGUUCUAAGUGAAUUCCCUCGGUAUGAUAAUUUGUUCAUCAGUUUGUUCCCCGUUUCUUCUCUAGCCUGAGCCUGACACACUAUUCUAGCUAGACAUGGGUGUGGCUCGUAACACCUGAUGACCAAACGGAUCUACGACACCAUCGAAUCUCAAACUUUAACUACCAAAACUAUUGUUUUUCAUCCUCUAGUCCCUUUUAGAAUUACUAAACGUCCUUUUUUGGGCCGAGAUUUCCAGGAACGCUUUCUCGGGGUUUGUGUGCAUGUAUUUCAAACCAUACAGACCUAAAAAUUAGAAGUCAUUCCAUCUUUAUUCCCGUAGAGCCUUCCAGCAGUUCCUAAACCGCUCCAGUCGGAGCAUGUUAUCAUUCUUGUUUGUUCUGAGUGAAUUCCCUCGGUAUGAUAAUUCUAUCAUCAGUUUGUUCCCCGUUUCUUCUCUAGCCUGAGCCUGGCAAACUAUUCNNNNNNNNNNNNNNNNNNNNNNNNNNNNNNNNNNNNNNNNNNNNNNNNNNNNNNNNNNNNNNNNNNNNNNNNNNNNNNNNNNNNNNNNNNNNNNNNNNNNNNNNNNNNNNNNNNNNNNNNNNNNNNNNNNNNNNNNCUAAACCGCUCUAGUCGGAGCACGUUAUCAUUCUUGUUAGUUCUGAGUGAAUUCCCUCGGUAUGAUAAUUCUUUCAUCAGUUUGUUCCCUGUUUCUUCUCUAGCCUGAGCCUGACACACUAUUCUAGCUAGACAUGGGUGUGGCUCGUAACACCUAAUGACCAAACGGAUCGACGGCACCAUCGAAUCUCAAACUUUAACUGCCAAAACUAUUGUUUUUCAUCCUGUUGUCCCAUUUAGAAUUACUAAACGUCCUUUUUUGGGCCGAGAUUUAGAGGAACGCUUUCUCGGGGUUUGUGUGCAAGUAUUUCAAACCAUACGGACCUAAAAAUUAGAAGUCAUUCCAUCUUUAUUCCCCUAGAGCCUUCCAGCAGUUCCUAAACCGCUCAAGUCAGAGCAUGUUAUCAUUCUUGUUAGUUCUGAGUGAAUUCCCUCGGUAUGAUAAUUCUUUCAUCAGUUUGUUCCCUGUUUCUUCUCUAGCCUGAGCCUGACACACUAUUCUAGCUAGACAUGGGUGUGGCUCGUAACACCUGAUGACCAAACGGAUCUACGACACCAUUGAAUCUCAAACUUUAACUACCAAAACUAUUAUUUUUCAUCCUGUAGUCCCUUUUAGAAUUACUAAACGUCCUUUUUUGGGCCGAGAUUUCCAAGAACGCUUUCUCGUGGUUUGUGUGCAAGUAUUUCAAACCAUACAGACCUAAAAAUUAGAAGUCAUUCCAUCUUUAUGCCCGUAGAGCCUUCCAGCAGUUCCUAAACCGCUCCAGUCGGAGCACGUUAUCAUUCUUAUUAGUUCUGAGUGAAUUCCCUCAGUAUGAUAAUUCUUUCAUAAGUUUGUUCCCCAUUUCUUCUCUAGCCUGAGCCUGGCACACUAUUCUAGCUAGACAUGGGUGUGGCUCAUAACACUUGUUGACUAAAUGGAUCGACGGCACCAUCGAAUCUCAAACUUUAACUGCCAAAACUAUUGUUUUUCAUCCUGUAGUCCCAUUUAGAAUUAUUAAACGUCCUUUUUUGGGCCGAUAUUUAGAGUAAUGCUUUCUCGGGGUUUGUCUGCAAGUAUUUCAAACCAUACGGACCUAAAAAUUAGAAGUCAUUCCAUCUUUAUUCCCCUAGAGCCUUCCAGCAGUUCCUAAACCGCUCUAGUCGGAGCACGUUAUCAUUCUUGUUAGUUCUGAGUGAAUUCCCUCAGUAUGAUAAUUCUUUCAUCUGUUUGUUCCCCGUUUCUUCUCUAGCCUGAGCCUGACACACUAUUCAAGCUAGACAUGGAUGUGGCUCGUAACACCUGAUGACCAAACGGAUCUACGGCACCAUCGAAUCCCAAACUUUAACUGCCAAAACUAUUGUUUUUCAUCCUGUAGUCCCUUUUAGAAUUACUAAACGUCCUUUUUUGGGCCGAGAUUUCCAGGAAUGCUUUCUCGGGGUUUGUGUGCAAGUAUUUCAAACCAUACAAAGCUAGAAAUUAGAAGUCAUUCCAUCUUUAUUAUCGUAGAGCCUUCCAGCAGUUCCUAAACCGGUCUAGUCGGAGCACGUUAUCAUUCUAGUUAGUUCUGAGUGAAUUCCCUCGGUAUGAUAAUUCUUUCAUCAGUUUGUUCCCCGUUUCUUCUCUAGCCUGAGCCUGACAAACUAUUCUAGCUAGACAUGCGUGUGGCUCGUAACACCUGAUGACCAAACGGAUCUAUAGCACCAUCGAAUCUCAAACUUUAACUGCCAAAACUAUUGUUUUCAUCCUGUAGUCCCUUUUAGAAUUACUAAACUUCCUUUUUUGGGCCGAGAUUUAGAGGAACGCUUUCUGGGGUUUGUGUGCAAGUAUUUCAAACCAUACAGACCUAAAAAUUAGAAGUCAUUCCAUCUUUAUUCCCCUAGAGCCUUCCAGCAGUUCCUAAACCGCUCUAGUCGGAGCACGUUAUCAUUAUUGUUAGUUCUGAGUGAAUUCCCUCGGUAUGAUAAUUCUUUCAUCAGUUUGUUCCCUGUUUCUUCUCUAUCCUGAGCCUGACACACUAUUCUAGCUAGACAUGGGUGUGGCUCGUAACACCUGAUGACUAAAUGGAUCGACGGCACCAUCGAAUCUCAAACUUUAACUGCCAAAACUAUUGUUUUUCAUCCUGUAGUCCCAUUUAGAAUUAGUAAACGUCCUUUUUUGGGCCGAGAUUUAGAGGAACGCUUUCUCGGGGUUUGUGUGCAAGUAUUUCAAACCAUACGGACCUAAAAAUUAGAAGUCAUUCCAUCUUUAUUCCCCUAGUCAUCAGGUAUACACUCAAGUCGGAGCACGUUAUCAUUCUUGUUAGUUCUGAGUGAAUUCCCUCGGUAUGAUAAUUCUUUCAUAAAUUUGUUCCCCGUUUCUUAUAUGGCCUGAGCCUGACACACUAUUCUAGCUAGACAUGGGUGUGGCUCGUAACACCUGAUGACCAAACGGAUCUACGGCACCAUCAAAUCUCAAACUUUAACUGCCAAAACUAUUCUUUUUCAUUCUGUAGUCCCUUCUAGAAUUACUAAACGUCCUUUUUUGGGCCGAGAUUUCCAGGAACGCUUUCUCGGGGUUUGUGUGCAUGUAUUUCAAACCAUACAGACCUAAAAAUUAUAAGUCAUUCCAUCUUUAUUCCCGUAGAGCCUUCCAGUAGUUCCUAAACCGCUCCAGUCGGAGCAUGUUAUCAUUCUUGUUAGUUCUAAGUGAAUUCCCUCGGUAUGAUAAUUCUUUCAUCAGUUUGUUCCCCGUUUCUUCUCUAGCCUGAGCCUGGCACACUAGUCUAGCUAGACAUGGGUGUGGCUCGUAACACCCGAUGACUAAAUGGAUCGACGGCACCAUCGAAUCUCAAACUUUAACUGCCAAAACUAUUGUUUUUCAUCCUGUAGUCCCAUUUAGAAUUACUAAACGUCCUUUUUUGGGCCGAGAUUUAGAGGAACGCUUUCUCGUGGUUUGUGUGCAAGAAUUUCAAACCAUACGGACCUAAAAAUUAGAAGUCAUUCCAUCUUUAUUCCCCUAGAGCCUUCCAGUAGUUCCUAAACCGCUCUAGUCGGAGCACGUUAUCAUUCUUGUUAGUUCUGAGAGAAUUCCCUCGGUAUGAUAAUUCUUUUAUCAGUUUGUUCCCCGUUUCUUCUCUAGCCUGAGCCCGACACACUAUUCUAGCUAGACAUGGGUGUGGCUCGUAACACCUGAUGACCAAACGGAUCUACGGCACCAUCGAAUCUCAAACUUUAACUGCCAAAACUAUUGUUUUUCAUCCUGUAGUCCCUUUUAGAAUUACUAAAUGUCCUUUUUUGGGCCGAGAUUUCCAGGAACGCUUUCUCAGGGUUUGUGUGCAAGUAAUUCAAACCAUACGGACCUAAAAAUUAGAAGUCAUUCCAUCUUUAUUCCCCUAGAGCCUUCCAGCAGUUCCUAAACCGCUCAAGUCAGUGCACGUUAUCAUUCUUGUUAGUUCUAAGUGAAUUCCCUCGGUAUGAUAAUUUGUUCAUCAGUUUGUUCCCCGUUUCUUCUCUAGCCUGAGCCUGACACACUAUUCUAGCUAGACAUGGGUGUGGCUCGUAACACCUGAUGACCAAACGGAUCUACGACACCAUCGAAUCUCAAACUUUAACUACCAAAACUAUUGUUUUUCAUCCUCUAGUCCCUUUUAGAAUUACUAAACGUCCUUUUUUGGGCCGAGAUUUCCAGGAACGCUUUCUCGGGGUUUGUGUGCAUGUAUUUCAAACCAUACAGACCUAAAAAUUAGAAGUCAUUCCAUCUUUAUUCCCGUAGAGCCUUCCAGCAGUUCCUAAACCGCUCCAGUCGGAGCAUGUUAUCAUUCUUGUUUGUUCUGAGUGAAUUCCCUCGGUAUGAUAAUUCUAUCAUCAGUUUGUUCCCCGUUUCUUCUCUAGCCUGAGCCUGGCAAACUAUUCUAGCUAGACAUGGGUGUGGCUCGUAACACCUGAUGACCAAACGGAUCUACGACACCAUCGAAUCUCAAACUUUAACUACCAAAACUAUUGUUUUUCAUUCUAUAGUCCCUUCUAGAAUUUCUAAACGUCCUUUUUUGGGCCGAGAUUUCCAGGAAUGCUUUCUCGGGGUUUGUGUGCAAGUAUUUCAAAUCAUACGGACCUAAAAAUUAGAAGUCAUUCCAUCUUUAUUCCCCUAGAGCCUUCCAGUAGUUCCUAAACCGCUCCAGUCGGAGCACGUUAUCAUUCUUGUUAGUUCAUAGUGAAUUCCCUCGGUAUGAUAAUUCUUUCAUCAGUUUGUUCCCCGUUUCUUCUCUAGCCUGAGCCUGGCACAGUAUUCUAGCUAGACAUGGGUGUGGUCGUAACACCUGAUGACUAAAUGGAUCGACGGCACCAUCGAAUCUCAAACUUUAACUGCCAAAACUAUUGUUUUUCAUCCUGUAAUCCCAUUUAGAAUUACUAAACGUCCUUUUUUGGGCCGAGAUUUAGAGGAACGCUUUGUUGGGGUUUGUGUGCAAGUAUUUCAAACCAUACGGACCUAAAAAUUAGAACUCAUUCCAUAUUUAUUCCCCUUGAGCCUUCCAGCAGUUCCUAAACCGCUCUAGUCGGAGCACGUUAUCAUUCUUGUUAGUUCUAAGAGAAUUCCCUCGGUAUGAUAAUUCUUUUAUCAGUUUGUUCCCCGUUUCUUCUCUAGACUGGGCCCGACACACUAUUCUAGCUAGACAUGGGUGUGGCUCGUAACACCUGAUGACCAAACGGAUCUACGGCACCAUCGAAUCUCAAACUUCAACUGCCAAAACUAUUGUUUUUCAUCCUGUAGUCCCUUUUAGAAUUACUAAACGUCCUUUUUUGGGCCGAGAUUUCCAGGAACGCUUUCUCGGGGUUUGUGUGCAAGUAUUUCAAACCAUACGGACCUAAAAAUUAGAAGUCAUUCCAUCUUUAUUCCCGUAGAGCCAUCCAGCAGUUCCUAAACCGCUCCAGUCGGAGCACGUUAUCAUUCUUGUUAGUUCUGAGUGAAUUCCCUCGGUAUGAUAAUUCUUUCAUCAGUUUGUUCCCCGUUUCUUCUCUAGCCUGAGCCUGACAAACUAUUAUAGCUAGACAUGGGUGUGGCUCGUAACACCUGAUGACCAAACGGAUCUAUGGCACCAUCGAAUCUCAAACUUUAACUGCCAAAACUAUUGUUUUUCAUCCUGUAGUCCCUUUUAGAAUUACUAAACGCCCUUCUUUGGGACGAGAUUUCCAGGAACGCUUUCUCGGGGUUUGUGUGAAAGUAAUUCAAACCAUACGGACCUAAAAAUUAGAAGUCAUUCCAUCUUUAUUCCCGUGGAGCCUUCCAGUAGUUCCUAAACCGCUCCAGUCGGAGCACGUUAUCAUUCUUGUUAGUUCUGAGUGAAUUCCCUCGGUAUGAUAAUUCUUUCAUCAGUUUGUUCCCUGUUUCUUCUCUAGCCUGAGCCUGGCACACUAUUCUAGCUAGACAUGGGUGUGGCUCGUAACACCUGAUGACUAAACUGAUCAAUGACACCAUCGAAUCUCAAACUUUAACUGCCAAAACUAUUGUUUUUCAUCCUGUAGUCCCAUUUAGAAUUACUAAACGUCCUUUUUUGGGCCGAGAUUUCCAGGAACGCUUACUCGGGGUUUGUGUGCAAGUAUUUCAAACCAUACUGACCUAAAAAUUAGAAGUCAAUCCAUCUUUAUUCCCCUAGAGCCUUCCAGCAGUUCCUAAACCGCUCCAGUCGGAGCACGUUAUCAUUCUUGUUAGUUCUGAGUGAAUUCCCUCGGUAUGAUAAUUCUUUCAUCAGUUUGUUCCUUGUUUCUUCUCUAGCCUGAACCUGACACACUAUUCUAGCUAGACAUGGGUGUGGCUCGUAACACCUGAUGACCAAACGGAUCUACGGCACCAUCGAAUCUCAAACUUUAACUGCCAAAACUAUUAUUUUUAAUCCUCUAGUCCCAUUUAGAAUUACUAAACGUCCUUUUUUGGGCCGAGAUUUAGAGGAACGCUUUCAUGCGGUUUGUGUGCAAGUAUUUCAAACCAUACGGACCUAAAAAUUAGAAGUCAUUCCAUCUUUAUUCCCCUAGAGCCUUCCAGCAGUUCCUAAACCGCUCCAGUCGGAGCAUGUUAUCAUUCUUGUUAGUUCUGAGUGAAUUCCCUCGGUAUGAUAAUUCUUUCAUCAGUUUGUGGCCCGUUUCUUCUCUAGCCUGAGCCUGACACACUAUUCUAGCUAGACGUGGGUGUGGCUCGUAACACCUGAUGACCAAACGGAUCUACGGCACCAUCGAAUCUCAAACUUUAAGUGCCAAAACUAUUAUUUUUAAUCCUGUAGUCCCAUUUAGAAUUACAAAAAUGUCCUUUUUUGGGCUGAGAUUUCCAGGAACGCUUUCGUGCGGUUUGUGUGCAAGUAUUUCAAACCAUACAGACCAAAAAAUUAGAAGUCAUUCCAUCUUUAUUCCCUU